Molecule: ribosomal RNA, 813 nt
Filed under: human gut metagenome
Description: bacterial SSU rRNA
Rfam family: Bacterial small subunit ribosomal RNA
Source: RNAcentral
UAUCCGGAUUUAUUGGGUUUAAAGGGUGCGUAGGCGGCCUUUUAAGUCAGCGGUGAAAGUCUGUGGCUCAACCAUAGAAUUGCCGUUGAAACUGGAGGGCUUGAGUAUGUUUGAGGCAGGCGGAAUGCGUGGUGUAGCGGUGAAAUGCUUAGAUAUCACGCAGAACCCCGAUCGCGAAGGCAGCCUGCCAAGCCAUGACUGACGCUGAUGCACGAAAGCGUGGGGAUCAAACAGGAUUAGAUACCCUGGUAGUCCACGCAGUAAACGAUGAUCACUAGCUGUUUGCGAUACACGGUAAGCGGCACAGCGAAAGCGUUAAGUGAUCCACCUGGGGAGUACGCCGGCAACGGUGAAACUCAAAGGAAUUGACGGGGGCCCGCACAAGCGGAGGAACAUGUGGGUUAAUUCGAUGAUACGCGAGGAACCUUACCCGGGUUUGAACGCAUUUCGACCGCUCUGGAAACAGAGCCUCUAGCAAUAGCGAUUUGCGAGGUGCUGCAUGGUUGUCGUCAGCUCGUGCCGUGAGGUGUCGGCUUAAGUGCCAUAACGAGCGCAACCCUUGCCACUAGUUACUAACAGGUAAAGCUGAGGACUCUGGUGGGACUGCCAGCGUAAGCUGCGAGGAAGGCGGGGAUGACGUCAAAUCAGCACGGCCCUUACAUCCGGGGCGACACACGUGUUACAAUGGCGUGGACAAAGGGAGGCCACCUGGCGACAGGGAGCGAAUCCCCAAACCACGUCUCAGUUCGGAUCGGAGUCUGCAACCCGACUCCGUGAAGCUGGAUUCGCUAGUAAUCGCGCAUCAGCCAUGGC